GACGAACGCUGGCGGCGUGCUUAACACAUGCAAGUCGAACGGAAAGGCCCUGCUUGCCGGGUACUCGAGUGGCGAACGGGUGAGUAACACGUGGGUGAUCUGCCCUGCACUUCGGGAUAAGCCUGGGAAACUGGGUCUAAUACCGGAUAGGAGCCAUUUUUAGUGUGAUGGUUGGAAAGUUUUUUCGGUGUAGGAUGAGCUCGCGGCCUAUCAGCUUGUUGGUGGGGUAAUGGCCUACCAAGGCGGCGACGGGUAGCCGGCCUGAGAGGGUGGACGGCCACAUUGGGACUGACAUACGGCCCAGACUCCUACGGGAGGCAGCAGUGGGGAAUAUUGCACAAUGGGCGCAAGCCUGAUGCAGCGACGCCGCGUGGGGGAUGACGGCCUUCGGGUUGUAAACUCCUUUCGCUAGGGACGAAGCUUUUUGUGACGGUACCUAGAUAAGAAGCACCGGCUAACUACGUG
RNAcentral lists this ribosomal RNA (465 nucleotides) under uncultured bacterium. RNAcentral's name for it is "partial 16S ribosomal RNA". It matches the Rfam family "Bacterial small subunit ribosomal RNA", at positions 28 to 507 of the family's 1533-position model. The record is from RNAcentral.